This 4281-nucleotide long non-coding RNA is filed under the name Ananas comosus (pineapple). RNAcentral describes it as "long non-coding RNA (ACOM_LNC008540)". The record is from RNAcentral. Lineage: Eukaryota; Viridiplantae; Streptophyta; Magnoliopsida; Poales; Bromeliaceae.
GGAUCCACAAGCUUUCUAUUUUCGUUUAUUUUAUUAAUAAAUAAACUUAGCUGGAAAUGUUAGUCGAGUAGGAUUCGAACUUGGGAUCUCAGAUACCAAUCACCAAACUCUUUACCACUUACGCUAGGGACUGUUGAUGUUUUGAUAUUAUUGUUGAAGGUGAUCGAAUGUUUAUUUGAAGUUUUUGAGAUUGUCAAUGUAAGCUUCUUAUUACUUUGUUCUUGUUUUUGAUAGUGGUUGUGUGAUCUUCACUGUGUAUAAAUUAUAAAACUAAAGUUUCAGUUUCUAUAAAUACGAAGAAAAGGGUGUGCUCAAAUUUGAGCUGUCUCAUAUACAUACUUAUCUUUUUUUAGAAACAAGAGUUUAGUUUUGGGUUUAAGUUGCUCGUACUUCUGUUAGGUUACUUGGUAUAUAUUUGUAACAAUCUUGGUAGAAAAAUGUGCCUUUGGGAAAUUAAUCCCAAAUCAUGUUAAAAAUUGAAUGAAAAAGGAAAAUCCGUAGCUACUCUAGCUAGUGUAAGAAGAAUGCAAAGUUUGUGUUUGUCUCUAGCUAGCUGUGAAGAGAAUUCAAAGUUGGCAUUUGUCUUGCCUAGCUUUUCAAAAAAUUAAAUACCUUCUAGUGCCAUAGUAUUUUAUAAACAAAAAAUAUAGUAAUGUCUUUGCUAUAUUAUAUGGACGUGACAUUUUAGGUUCUAAAAGUAAAAGCUCUAUUCUGUAGCUCGGUUAUGAGAUUUUUUUUUUUUUUGAAAAAGUUGUAGUGGUAAAUAGUUAUUUCUUUUUAUAACUUAAUAAUCUUGGGAGGUCGAAAAUAAAUAUAAAGAAAUUAAUUACACGAGACAAGAAGCUAAGGCUUGAAAAUAUCUAUCUUUCUUUGUUUCUAAAAUAAAAACUCUAUAUGAUUGGAUAUGUCAAAAAGUAAAUGCCAUGACCCAAACCUUCUUCAUUUAGGUUGUGACCGCCAUGCUUUCAUAUGAUUAAAGUCUGAAAUUCAAAUUUGAAUCAUAUGAAAAUGCAAUGUUUAAGGAAAAAAAAUAGCACCUAGUAGUGAGUUAUUCUAACGAGAGAAACUUAUAAAAGUGAUCCACACUUGUAACCUUGAGUGAUCUUAAUUAUGUGAUGAAAAAGUUGGUAUAAUCGUCUUGUUGCUUACUUAUCAAAGCAUCCUACGUACGGUGAAUAUAUAUCCAAUAUCUCUGGGCUUGAGGAGUUGGCGGGAACGUAGGCAGAGUGCUGAAUAUCGAAAAAAGUCGAUCGCAUGCUUACAUUUGAAUUUAUAAAGAAAAUUAAGUUCAAACAUUCAAAUGUAUAAACUUUAGAAUUAGAAAAUAGGAUAAGAGGGUUGCGGACUCACAGUGAACUUCUUUAUACUAGCUUGGAAUUAAUGCAAUUAAUUUGGUCCGAUAUUAAAAGGUAUCUUCAUUAAAAAAAAAAAAAAAAUCCAACAAAGGGAAAAAGAUUACUGCUUUCGUGAAUAAAGUUGUUCUUCGAUUAUCAUUUCAACUAAAAAUAAUAAUUUUGUCACUAAGUACUAUCUUUUAUGGUUCGAUGCAAUUCAAUUUUAUCGGCCAGAGAUGCAGCUGUUAUAUGAAACCUUUCUUGAAAAGAACACUUUAAUUCAUUUUCAUUUUCUUCAGCUGCGAUGUGAGGGGCACCUUUUUUUCUACUGCUGAAAUUUGCGUCGUUGAUGAAGAAAUCUAAUCUUAGGAAGCAAUUUUUCUUCAGCCGCGAGGUGCGGAAUACCCCUUUUUUCUUUUUUUUUUUUUUUUUUUUUUUUUUUUUUUUUUUUUUUUUCCUACUGCUGAAAAUUGUGUUGUUGGAGGGAUUUGUGACAGAGAUUGGUAAAAAAACACAUGCAGUGAAUUUUCAUGCAUAUAUUUUUGUUCAAAGGGCGUGCCAAUGAAGAAUGUUCUACCAGUUACUUGUCGUCAUUGGGCGAAACUACUUACUCUAAUAGCACGUUUGGUUCAAAAUAGGAAUCGAAAUUAAAAUAAGUUGAGCUGAAAUGCUGAUCAAUAGCAAACAGGCUGCAUUAUUACCGAUUUAUUUUUCGAUAAUGAAGUCUUCAAAUCAACGAUCGGCACUGUUGAACAUGAUUUACCACUUUAUAUUUUUAGAAACUAAAUUUUAAACCUUUUUGAUAUCAUUGACCUAAUGAUAAAAAAAUUGCAGAUUUUGUAAUUUUAAUGGUCGAUAUAAGAUGUUUUCAAAUUUAACAGCGUAAAGGUAUCUAAAUUAAUCGAAUUUUGAUUAGAAAAUUUCUUAAACCAUUUAAAACAAGAUUUAUACUCUUAAUCUUGAUUACAAGACUUCUAUCAUUAACAUUUUAAGAAUACUCAUUUUCAGCUAUUCAUUUUUGUGACCACUUGAUGGAUAAUAGAAUAAUAUCAAAAAAAUAGAAAAUUUGAUUUUUAGAUAGUUUAAAUGGAUUACGUCAUAUUUAAUAGUGUUAAUCGUCAAUUUGAAAGUUUCAUCAUCAAAAACAAAUGAUAACAACGGAUAGUAUCCCGGCUUAACUACGACCCGAAUCUCAAGCACCCCAAACUCCUUAUCCCCUUGCAGGCUACAUAUUUCGUAACAAAAAGUGUACAAAGCAAACACCAAGGAUUAAAGUGCCCAUCGGCACAGACCGUAUCUACUGUAUCGUAUCGUGCCAGUAAGAUAUUGGCAUGAUACAGUUCUUGUACCGAUGGCACAAUUCAAAACCCUCUAUUCUUGAAAUUACUAGGUAAUUUUCUCAAUAAAGUUAAAAAAAUUGAUAAAAUUACAUAAUAAAUAUUUGGCAUAUUUUUUUACUAAAAAAAAUAAAUAUUUCAUGCCAUUAUGUGUCGGUAUAUAUAUAUUUUUUGUGACCGAUACGCAUCGACACGACCUAGCACGCAUCGGGCCGUAUCGUGCCGGCAAGUUUCGGCACAACCCGUGCGACGAUACUUAAAUUCUUAACAAACAAUUUUUUAGAUUCACUUUGGGAUCUUACAUUCAGUAUAACAAUAAAAAUAGAAAAGUCUUUGACUUUUAUCGCUUGGUUUGGAAUCAUUUCAAGGAUUCAUAGAUAGCAAUCAGAAAAUAUUAGGAUGGAUGCAUUAGACGGGCACCUUCAUUAACUUAUUUCUUUUUCCAUUUUAUUUGAUAUAAUAGUAGAGCUAUUCCAGUCAAAUUGUCUAAAAUUUCAUUUCUUUCAUAAAGAAAACUUCAAUGCAUAUUUUAUUAAAAGGGUUAAUUUCAUACAAGUUCCUACAAAAAUAGUGGAUGAUAAAUAUAUUACUACAAAAUUCAACUUUUAUAUAUUAUCACUACAAAUGUCCUGAUGUUUUCAAAUAUGUCUCUUUAGUUUGUUAUCGUUAGACAACUGUUUAUAUUUUUAAUUUUCGCCAUCACAAAUAUGUUUCUCUGAAGGUCACAACAGUUUAAUGUAAAAGGGGUAAAAAUAUCAAAAACUAACCAGAGUUUAGUAUUUAACCUAUGGAGGUCGGCGAGUGUCUAUGCUUCUUCAAGUACCAGUUCUUUGCAUAGUCUGUUCCACUUUAGCCGCUUUCAAAAGUCCAGUGUCUUGUUUUUCUCUUCCAGAAGAGUUACGAAGGAGAUGGCGAGGUCAAGCAGCGAUACUACGUAUAACUAAACGACAGAGAUAUAUUUGAAAAUAUCAAGGCUUUUGUAAGGAUAGCAUAUGAAAGUUGAAAUUUGUAGAGAUAUAUUUACCAUUCACUAUAUUUGUAGGGACCUGUAUGCAAUUAACCUUUUAUUAAAAUGAUUGAAUCAACUUGGAAGCUACCCAAGCUAUAUAUAGCUUAAAAUAUCCUUCUGCAUGUUACAUACUCCCCAAAAUUCUAAUUUUCAAUUAUUAUAAAAUUAUAAUUUUUUAAAAAAAUUUAAAUUCAAAGGGAUAGAUUUACAAACCUUGAAUUUUAUUAUUAAAAUUCAGAAAAAAUAAAAUUAAAUCUAAGGGAUAAGACCACAGGCCAUGAAUUUAGAAUUGUAAUCCUUUGAUUUUUUUUUUUUUUUUUUUUUUUCAGAUUGUAGACUUAUUAGCAUUUCUCAUAUUUUAAUAUUCAUGUCAAGCAAUUUUUUUUUAUUGGAGCAAUUGCUUAUAUACUCCUAAAAAGUUUCAGACUUUAUUAUUUAUCUCUAAGGUUAAUAUAAAAAAUACAUUUUUAAUGAGUUAAAUUAUGUUAGUGAAUUAUUAGUAACAAUCGUCAUUUCUGUAAAAUUAAUAUUUUACCCUUCCAAAUAUAUCUUUUUAUCAUGAUCAACUUUUUUUAUUUGUCCUUAAAUUUAGGGUAAAGAA